Molecule: unclassified non-coding RNA, 560 nt
Filed under: Bombus terrestris (buff-tailed bumblebee)
Lineage: Eukaryota; Metazoa; Arthropoda; Insecta; Hymenoptera; Apidae
Description: misc RNA ENSBTSG00005032786.1
Source: RNAcentral
AGUGUUCAGAGAACGUUUCACGCGAAGAGAUAUCCUGCGAGAAAUCGGGGCACAAAGUGGUAACGGAUGGAAGGGUUUUUACGAGUGCAAUAAAUCGGAUCUCGAUAGAACGUGCACACACUGAUGCCAGAUUGGACAUGGAACAAUCGAGAACUGUCACGAUUAUCUUGCUGGAUAUAACAGCUCCGCCAUGUGACCCGAUAACUUCCGCAUCUCGCGAUUCGUAUCGCGAGAAUCUCGACUAGCUGAUGCGAGAUUAGAGAUAACCAGCGUUUACGGCAGAGAGGAUUUCAAGUUCGACUAGGCUCUAGACCAGAGCAAAGCGAGUAGCUCUCGUACCAGCCUCUGUUCACCUUCUCAUCCUCCCUUAAAGCUCUUCUUCCAUCGAGCCGCCUCCGACUCGCGGCUUGCAACCAGAAGCAAUUAUGCGACAGCUACCACUCUCGUUUCAACCGCAUGCUUUGUGUCACGCGAUUCUUGUAAUAAGUAGGGGAUGAGAGAAGCUCUCUAGCGAUACUGUGAAUAACAAGGAAACCUUCCGAACCUGAACACAUCCAUUU